Molecule: non-coding RNA, 136 nt
Organism: Triangularia verruculosa
Lineage: Eukaryota; Fungi; Ascomycota; Sordariomycetes; Sordariales; Podosporaceae
Source: the annotation of a GenBank genome assembly
GGGCGUGUGGUCUAGUGGUACGACGUCUCAUUUGCAAAAAAGUUCACCACGCUUGAAGCUGUCCAAGGCAGUUGAAGGGGUUUGAAUGAUACAUUGCUCCAUGUGAAGGUCCCGGGUUCGAACCCCGGCACGUCCA